CGUGUAGGCGGUCAGGUAAGUUGGACGUGAGAGCUCCUGGCUCAACUAGGAGAGGUCGUUCGAAACUGCCUGGCUAGAGGGCGACAGAGGGAGGUGGAAUUCCCGGUGUAGUGGUGAAAUGCGUAGAUAUCGGGAGGAACACCAGUGGCGAAGGCGGCCUCCUGGGUCGCACCUGACGCUCAGACGCGAAAGCUAGGGGAGCGAACG
RNAcentral lists this ribosomal RNA (207 nucleotides) under uncultured bacterium. RNAcentral describes it as "partial 16S ribosomal RNA". It matches the Rfam family "Bacterial small subunit ribosomal RNA", at positions 568 to 774 of the family's 1533-position model. The record is from RNAcentral.